GGUACCUUGGCCGAGUGGUCGAAGGCGCCAGACUUAAGCUCUGAUACUCGAAAGAGUUCGUGGGUUCGAAUCCCUCAGGUACCA
RNAcentral lists this transfer RNA (84 nucleotides) under Vairimorpha ceranae BRL01. RNAcentral's name for it is "Nosema ceranae BRL01 tRNA". It matches the Rfam family "tRNA". From Rfam's summary of the family: Transfer RNA (tRNA) molecules are approximately 80 nucleotides in length. The record is from Rfam by way of RNAcentral. Lineage: Eukaryota; Fungi; Microsporidia; Nosematidae.